UACGAAGGGGGCUAGCGUUGCUCGGAAUUACUGGGCGUAAAGGGCUCGUAGGUGGCCAACUAAGUCGGACGUGAAAUCCCUCGGCUUAACCGGGGAACUGCGUCUGAUACUGGAUGGCUAGAGAUUGGGAGAGGGAUGCGGAAUUCCAGGUGUAGCGGUGAAAUGCGUAGAUAUCUGGAGGAACACCGGUGGCGAAGGCGGCAUCCUGGACCAACACUGACGCUGAGGAGCGAAAGCCAGGGGAGCAAACGGG
Molecule: ribosomal RNA, 253 nt
Filed under: uncultured bacterium
Lineage: Bacteria
Description: partial 16S ribosomal RNA
Rfam family: Bacterial small subunit ribosomal RNA
Source: RNAcentral